Molecule: transfer RNA, 74 nt
Filed under: Roseibacillus sp. TMED18
Lineage: Bacteria; Pseudomonadati; Verrucomicrobiota; Verrucomicrobiia; Verrucomicrobiales; Verrucomicrobiaceae
Also listed under: 4 other names
Description: tRNA-Gly
Rfam family: tRNA
About the family: Transfer RNA (tRNA) molecules are approximately 80 nucleotides in length. Their secondary structure includes four short double-helical elements and three loops (D, anti-codon, and T loops). Further hydrogen bonds mediate the characteristic L-shaped molecular structure. tRNAs have two regions of fundamental functional importance: the anti-codon, which is responsible for specific mRNA codon recognition, and the 3' end, to which the tRNAs corresponding amino acid is attached (by aminoacyl-tRNA synthetases). tRNAs cope with the degeneracy of the genetic code in two manners: having more than one tRNA (with a specific anti-codon) for a particular amino acid; and 'wobble' base-pairing, i.e. permitting non-standard base-pairing at the 3rd anti-codon position.
Source: RNAcentral
GCGGGUAUAGCUUAAUGGUAAAGCCCCAGCCUUCCAAGCUGGCCAUAAGGGUUCGAUUCCCUUUACCCGCUCCA